Molecule: ribosomal RNA, 263 nt
Filed under: uncultured archaeon
Lineage: Archaea
Description: partial 16S ribosomal RNA
Rfam family: Archaeal small subunit ribosomal RNA
Source: RNAcentral
AGUCACUGACAUUAGAUACCCUGUAGUCCCAGCCGUAAACAAUGUGCGUUAGGUGUGUCGGUAACCACGCGUUACUGAUGCGCCGAAGAGAAAUCGUGAAACGCACCACCUGGGAAGUACGGUCGCAAGGCUGAAACUUAAAGGAAUUGGCGGGGAGCACCACAACAGGUGGAGCCUGCGGUUUAAUUGGAUUCAACGCCGGACAUCUCACCGGAUAAGACAGCUGAAUGAUUGUCAAUCUGAAGGUUUUACAUGACUAGCUG